Long non-coding RNA from Chelonia mydas (Green sea turtle), 1470 nucleotides. RefSeq lists it as uncharacterized. The record is from RefSeq and is a predicted model, not a curated record. The transcript has 3 exons. NCBI's taxonomy places the organism in Eukaryota, Metazoa, Chordata, Testudines, Cheloniidae.
UCUCUCUCUUGUCAUGAAGGCGAGGAGGGUAGUUUUCCACUUCCUCUCUCCAAGGACUGUGACAACUGUAAGAGGUUACUAUAUUAACCGCCUGCACAAGGAUUAAAUGAUUCAAUACAGGCUCACAGCUUGAAACAACCCAGAGCUCUGGAUUUUUCCGCAAGUGUACUGACUGCAUACAUGCACACUAUUGAAGUUGUAAAUUUGUAAUCCAGGCUAAUUGUUUCAUACAACGUGACAUGUGUAAACUGGCAAUUGCUGAAGACAGUAAGGAAUACACAGUAUAGAAGCAAGGGCUGCUUUAGCUCCAGCAAACAUCUGUUGGGUUUGAGAAUCAAGAUUUUCAAUUGGCUUUCAAAAUUCAGUUGCUAAAGCAGGAAUUUUUUGGACUGAAGCAUAACUGGGAAAAAGCUUCAGGCCAAACUCAGCCCUGCAGCAGGUAGGUGCAAGUCUAUGGAGUUGAACCAAGGCUGAACUUGGCCCUGUGGUUUGAUGGGCUUGGUAAAAUAUUAGGCUGGUUCACCGCAUCUUCCCUAUUUCAAAUCCUGCAAGGUGGCAUGUAUGUUCGAUUAAUGAGCCAUGCCUUUAGAAAAGUGGUGCUCUGCUUUGUCCGUCACUCUGCUAUUGAAUAGAGUUGCAGGGGGAACAAAAAAGAAGCACAUAUAUGGUUGAGAAACCAAAAAUGCAUGCAAGAAGUUUAUUAGGAAGUAAUACUUAACAAUGGGAGCCCUUCAGUUCAGCAACUCCUGGGGGUGAAAUCUUGGCCCCACUAAGGUCAAGAGGAGUUUUCCCAUUGACUUCAAUCAGUCCAGGGUUUGAACCUUGAUGUCUUUUUUUAAAAGCCGACAUUUCCAUUACCAAAGCUGGCCAGUAAGAUCUGCAAGGUCCAGUGUUAUGCCACCCUCCGCCUGCCCUAAUUUUUUGGGGACUAGUCACAGCUUUUUUUCUUUAAAGGAAGUUUCCAGUCCUGUUCACUGUGGACAGACUCUUUAAAAUAUACACUCAUGUUAACUUUCACCCUUACUAGUAUGUUAACUGGCACUGUCCUUUGUUAAAAACUCGUGUGUGUUAUGGCUCCCCAUACAGCCCAUGCAAGCCAGAUCUGAAUUAUGUGGUUCAGGCCCACAUCUAGUUUUGCGUUCUUUAGGCACUACUGUUAUAGUAAAGCAUGUACUCUGUGGCCAGGUUCAGAACCCAGGCAAUUGUGCUUAGUGCAGAACAUGCACACUGGCCAAGGGCGGGGUUGCUAUAGAUCUGUUUGGUUUGAUCGAACAAUUAAUCAAACACACCCAAUAGCAAUGUCUGAUUAAAGCAAAAGAUAUAACACAGGGAACGUGAUAGGGAAACUGUGUCUGGAAUUAGUGGUGUACAGGCUGUGGUUAAUUUUGAUUGUAACACAAUCAGUGUGAACCAUUCCAAAUAAAAUGCUGUUCCCACUGAGAACUACCUAUAUUCAGGUGUAAACUUGGA